RNAcentral lists this ribosomal RNA (771 nucleotides) under uncultured Neocallimastigales. RNAcentral's name for it is "partial large subunit ribosomal RNA". The stretch from base 4 to 661 matches the Rfam family "Eukaryotic large subunit ribosomal RNA", at positions 24 to 664 of the family's 3401-position model. The record is from RNAcentral. Lineage: Eukaryota; Fungi; Neocallimastigomycota; Neocallimastigomycetes; Neocallimastigales.
GUACACGCUGUGACUAGCAUAUCAAUAAGCGGAGGAAAAGAAACUAACAAGGAUUCCCUCAGUAACGGCGAGUGAAGCGGGAAGAGCUCAAAUUUGAAAUCUUGAAAGGUCACCUUUCACGAAUUGUAGUUUAAAGAAGUGUUUUCUGUUACGAUCGUAAUAUAAGUUCUUUGGAAUAGGACAUCACAGAGGGUGAGAAUCCCGUCUAUGAUUGCGAUUUGUAGCUUUGUGAUACACCUUCAAAGAGUCGGGUUGUUUGGGAAUGCAGCCCAAAACGGGAGGUAAAUUUCUUCUAAGGCUAAAUAUUGGCGAGAGACCGAUAGCGAACAAGUACCGUGAGGGAAAGAUGAAAAGAACUUUGAAAAGAGAGUUAAAUAGUACGUGAAAUUGUCAAAAGGGAAGCGUUUAACACCAGUGUUGUUUUCUGAAAAUCAACCUCUGUUAGCUUUAUGCAUGUUUGUUUAGACCUAAUCAGCUAUCUUUCAUGUUCUAUUGUUUGCAGUGGUGCACUUUUCAGUUUACAGGUCAACAUCAGUUUUUUUUACCGUAAAAAAGUUAAAGAAAGGUAGCUCAUGGCUCCGGUCGUGAGUGUUAUAGUCUUUUUCCUAUGCGGUAGGAGAGACUGAGGUCUGCAGUGUAGGCUAUUUGGCUAGAUACUCAGGUGCUAUGUGAUACCAUUUCAUAAACAACUUGUUGAUUAUGUUUUGUCUAUUGCAUACUCGCUUGUACUAUCAUACCUACGCUUAGGAUGUUGAGUAGCGACAUACGCAC